RNAcentral lists this long non-coding RNA (1370 nucleotides) under Homo sapiens (human). RNAcentral's name for it is "HSALNT0116434". The record is from RNAcentral. Lineage: Eukaryota; Metazoa; Chordata; Mammalia; Primates; Hominidae.
CACAUGAUGUAGGUACUUCCACCGUUUCCACAAUAUGGAUGAAGACAGGAUAAUACUAGAAGGCAAUGCAGAUGGAGUACCAAUACAGGUCACAUCGUAUGGCUGAAAAAAUAACAAAUCAGGCAUUUGAACCAAGACCAUUGAUGAUAGAAGCCAAGAUGUAACCACUUUGUUAUUCUGCAUUAUCUUAUGAGGUAACUCAACCUAAGACAUUGAAUAAUUAGAUAUGGAGGGAGAAGAAAAAGGAAACAUACUGAUGAACUUGUUUUUCUGUCCUGGCAAACUGGAUUAUGGGAGCACCUUUGAACAGGAUGGAGGGGAGCCAUGUUUGGAGGUACCGUUGACUCAUUAAAGAAGAAUAAAACUGUGAGAAUGCUAUUGGGCAGUUCACAGAGUCCCUAGGAGGACUGGAAAAUCAGGUUUAUGGCCAUCCAGCCAGACAUAACGCCCAGACACAACAAAGGGUUGGUCUGAUGAGGACAUAUUGCCAAUAUUGGCAAGCAGCUUUUACCACUCAUAUAUUUAGAUGUUCAUGGAUGCUGCACGUAGCACCAUCAACAUUACCUUCCAAGACAAAUAAUAUUGAUUCAUCAUCCACUCCUUUUAGGGAAAGUUGGUCAGAGUUAUACCAACUCUGUCUUUAAAGUUUGAGGUAAGUUCAUCCACUUGACAGACCCUAAGCUAUGUAGUCAUACCUUAGUUGCAAGGGAAGCUGAAAGAACAGAGUCACAAUAAAGAAGCUGAAAGAACAGGGUCACAAUAAAGAAGGUGGGAAAUUCUUCAAACAGGAAAGUGAUUAUAGCAACACAAUAAGAUAGCAAAUAGCAGUUACAAAAGAGGAGGUACAGUUUGGGCUGAGAAUAAAUAAAAAAUACCACCACGGUCGUGGAGUAGUAAGGUGAAGUAGAAAAUAGGUGUUCUAUUUGGAUCGUGUCGAUGAAGGGUUAGGAAUGGAUGGUCUCCAGAGAAGGCUGAUUCCUCCCAUUCUUGUACAUGCCUGCUACUUCCAUCAAUGAAGUCCACUUCCUGUCUUAGACUAACCUGUUGAGUAGUUUUGAUCAAUGUAAAGUGGUAAAAGUAAUCCUGUGCCAGUUUCAGGAUUAGUCCAUAAGAGUCCUGGAAACAUAUUUGUUUUUUUGGAAACCAGCCACCAUGGUGUGAAGCUGAGGCUAGACAACUGAAAAGUGAGACCACUUGGAAAGAGAAAAGCAACAUGGAAGAGAACCAGGGUUCCCCAGCCAACAGUCCAUGCCACAACCCAGACACCUAGGGAGGUUCUCUUUAAUGCUCCAGCCCAAAACAAGCUUCCAGCCACGAGAGCGGUCUCAAACAACCAGUAUACUGAUAGAUUCACCCACAGAAUCAUGAGA